RNAcentral lists this ribosomal RNA (655 nucleotides) under Klebsiella oxytoca. Its description in RNAcentral is "bacterial SSU rRNA". It matches the Rfam family "Bacterial small subunit ribosomal RNA", at positions 48 to 695 of the family's 1533-position model. Lineage: Bacteria; Pseudomonadati; Pseudomonadota; Gammaproteobacteria; Enterobacterales; Enterobacteriaceae. The record is from RNAcentral.
CCUACACAUGCAGUCGAACGGUAGCACAGAGAGCUUGCUCUCGGGUGACGAGUGGCGGACGGGUGAGUAAUGUCUGGGAAACUGCCUGAUGGAGGGGGAUAACUACUGGAAACGGUAGCUAAUACCGCAUAACGUCGCAAGACCAAAGAGGGGGACCUUCGGGCCUCUUGCCAUCAGAUGUGCCCAGAUGGGAUUAGCUAGUAGGUGGGGUAACGGCUCACCUAGGCGACGAUCCCUAGCUGGUCUGAGAGGAUGACCAGCCACACUGGAACUGAGACACGGUCCAGACUCCUACGGGAGGCAGCAGUGGGGAAUAUUGCACAAUGGGCGCAAGCCUGAUGCAGCCAUGCCGCGUGUAUGAAGAAGGCCUUCGGGUUGUAAAGUACUUUCAGCGGGGAGGAAGGCGAUAAGGUUAAUAACCUUGUCGAUUGACGUUACCCGCAGAAGAAGCACCGGCUAACUCCGUGCCAGCAGCCGCGGUAAUACGGAGGGUGCAAGCGUUAAUCGGAAUUACUGGGCGUAAAGCGCACGCAGGCGGUCUGUCAAGUCGGAUGUGAAAUCCCCGGGCUCAACCUGGGAACUGCAUUCGAAACUGGCAGGCUGGAGUCUUGUAGAGGGGGGUAGAAUUCCAGGUGUAGCGGUGAAAUGCGUAGAA